GCAGAGGCCAUUUAGAAACCACAUCAUAGAGAUUCUUUCCCAACUCAGACCCUAUUUGAAACAUUUAAAAAUACAAAGUUACAGUUAAAAUAGGAGCUCAUCAUCAAAAAAGUAUAAAAUAUAUAAGGAACUCCAUUACUAGGAAAGAAAAUCCACAGAUGGAAUGAGCCAAUGGAACUUGAAAUAGUACUGCAUUCUAAAAAAGCCACAACAUAACUACUUUUAAAUGUCCAAGUCGAUGAAGAAAGAUUCAAAUAUAUGAAUCAGGGAUGAAAGAUUAUAAACCAUGAAAAGGC
RNAcentral lists this long non-coding RNA (296 nucleotides) under Homo sapiens (human). Its description in RNAcentral is "HSALNT0121867". Lineage: Eukaryota; Metazoa; Chordata; Mammalia; Primates; Hominidae. The record is from RNAcentral.